Molecule: long non-coding RNA, 4868 nt
Organism: Bos grunniens (domestic yak)
Lineage: Eukaryota; Metazoa; Chordata; Mammalia; Artiodactyla; Bovidae
Source: Ensembl
AUGACUGAGGAGCUGUGGGGCAGCUGGAGGGGCCAGACUGCAGUCAGCUGCAUCAUGGUACGAGUGUGUCCUGAUGUGGCCAAGGUGAUGAGAUACUCGAGGCUCCACCAUCCCCUAGACAGCAACCAGAGAGUGUCCCACCCUCCGCUCCUCACCCCAUAUCUGGGUGUCACCACCCUCAGGUCUCCUCCCCACCUUUGCAGCCACCAUCUCAUCAUGUCCCUGUUGCUUCUUACCUCAGUCUACAAGGCCAGCAUCACCCUAACACCAAAACCAGACAAAGACAUCACGAGAAAGCAAAACUGUAGAUCAGUCUCACUCAUGAUCAUAGAUGCAAAUAUCAUAAACAAAAUAUUAGCAAAUCAAACCCAACAAUGCCUUUUAAAAAAUUUAUACCACAACCAAGUGAAAUUUAUUCUAGGUUGGACAUCUGAAAAUCAACUAAUGUAAUCUAUCAUAUAAAGUCUAAAGAUGAAAAAUCAUCUGAUUAUACCACUAGAUGGAAAAAAAGAGCAUUUGACAAAAUCCAAUAACCAUUCAAAUUUUGUUCUACAAAUGCUCAGCAAACUAGGAAUGGAAGAGAACCUCCUCAACUUGAUAAACAACAUCUGCAAAAAAAGUCAUGUUUUACUGUGAAACCUAAAUACCCUCCACCCUGAGACUGGAAAAAGGCAAAAAUGUGCCACCUCAGCAAUUCUAAUCAGUGUCGUAUGGGAAGUCCCAGCUAGUGUAAUAAGACAAGAAAAGGAAAUAAAAGGAUAUCAACUGAAAAGAAAGAAACAAAAUUCUUUUCCAAAUAAAAUUUAGAAAAGCAAGUUUAAAGAUGUAUGUAACUAAUAAUUACAGCAAGGUUGCAGGAUACAAGGUUAAUAUAUAAUAUCCAUUGCUUUUAUAUAUGCCUAUAUAACAGCAAUAAGCAAUCAGAAUGUGAAACUGAAAACAAUACCAUUUACAUAAACAUGAACAACUGAAAUACUCAGGUAUAAAUCUAACAUGAUGUGUACAAGACCUAUAUGAGAGGAAACUAGAAAACUCUGAUGAAUAAAAUCAAAGAAAAUCGAAAUAAAUGGAGAGAUAGUCUAUGUUCAUGGAUAAAAGACUCAAGUUGUUAAGAUGCCAGUUCUUCUCAGUCUUAUUUAUAAAUUCUGUGUAGUUCUAAUCAGAACUCUAGCAAGUUAAUUUGUAGAUAUCAACAAACUGGUUCUGCGGUUCAGCAUCACCACAGCAAAGGCAGCAAAGGGGGAGGAUUGACACUAGCCAACUUCAGGGUGUGUUAUAAGGCUUCGGAAAUCAAGACGGUGUGGAUUUUGGUAAAGAGGAGACAAGUAGAUCGAUGGAACAGAAAUACAGAACCUAGAAGCAGACCCACACGAAUGUAGUCACCUGCUCUUUGACGCAGGGGCAAAGGAAACACAGUGAAGUAAAGACAGUCUCUUCACAGACGGCCCUGGAACAAUAGGGGAUCCACAUACAAAAAGGAAAAGAAAGAAUCUAGACAGUGGCUUUACACAUUCCAACCAAAAAGUUAAUUCAGAAUAGAUCUCAGAACUAAAUUUAAAAUGCAAAACUAUGAAACUUCCAGAUGGUAACAAGAGAAAAUCAAGGUGACCUUGGGUUUGGUGGUAACUUUCUAAGAUACAUCAAGCCAUGAAAUAAAGCCAUGAAAUAAAAAAUUGAUACGUCAAACAUUAUGAAAAAUAAAUAUUUCUUCCCUGCAAAAUACACAGCCAAGAGAGGGGAAAAGACAAGCUACAGGCUAGAAAAUGUUUUCAAAAGAUAUCUGACGAAGGGCUUGUAUCCAAAAUAUACAAACUUCAACAAUAAGAAAACAACUCAGUUUUAAAAUGUGCAAGAAAAAAAAAAUGUGCAAGAGAUCUGAAUGACACCCCACCAAAGAUGUUAUGUAGAAGGCAAAUAAGCAUGUGAAAAGAUGCUUAUUAAGGACUAUCAAUUAAAGCAACCAGGAGAUACCACUAAACACUCAGCAGAAUGUCUAAAAUCCAAAACAUUGCCAAUGUGGUGUGACCACCACCCCACAUGCAGGCAGGAGGGGCUGGGGAGGGAGGCAGUUCCCAGAGAGGCCAGCCCAGGGCCCCGCUCCCUGGUCCCCAGACCACACUCCCCAGGGAGGGGAAUCUCUAAAGUGUCUCCCACUCCCAGACUUUGUGACAGCAAAGGCGUGGCUCUCAGCAUGCCUUUAGGCUUUCAAAUACCACCUAAUUCCCAAACCUGAGAAGGCGCCUAGGAUGGCGCCUCCAGGACGCGCAGUCCUCCCCAGGGACUCACGGCCCUUGGGAUAAAAGCAGCCAAGGGCUUCGCCUGGCCCCUCCCCUCCUCUGCCCAGGAACGGCCUCAGGGCCUGGGAGCAUCUGGAGGCUGGCUCAGAUCGGGCCUUCAUAGGCAAGGACCUCUGCCUUCCCCCAGGCGGGAAGAUAGAGGCAGCAGUCCACGCCUGACCUGCACCAGGAGGGCCGGAGCCCACGGCCCUGAGCACAGAAAUCCUCCACGACUGGCUGAGAAUGAGGGCCAAAGGGCAGGGAUGGGGCAGAGGGCGGGGCUGUGGGCUGGAGACGAGGAGGGCAGGAGCAGAACGGAUCUCGCAGGGAAGGGUGCCAAUCUAACUUGGGGUGUUCCGAACUUAUCCCAUCAGCUUAACAAACAUGGGAACCGAUUACAUUACAGUUCAGUCGCUCAGUCGUGUCCGACUCUUUGCAACCCCAAGAAUCGCAGCACACUUUAAUUCAUUAUUUGUAAAAUAACUUCACAAAGCACAAAGACUACAGAAGCAUCAUUACCCACAGAUGACAGACAAAUGUGUCCUUCUGCUCUGGCCUCCAGGGAAGGGGCCUCCAGGAACCCUGACUUCUCUUCUGCAGUGAGAGAGGUUCUUCAGCUGGGCAGACGCCACCCACUCCUGCAGGGACCCUCCUGCUGUGGGCCUGGGUCACAGCAAGGAGAAGCCAUCGGAGCCCUCCCCCCCACCACCUGCACUUCCUUCUAGGGGGAGACCAGAUGGUGAACAAGUAAAGAGGGGCAGGGGCACCGAUUGGCACCCUCAGGUGAGGUGAGUGGCCAGGAGCAGUUUUAAGUGGGUGGAGGGUCUUCAAUGAGCUCCAGAGGUCAUGCUCCAGCAGAGGCUGAGGGGUCAGAAGACCCACCAGAAAGCCCAGGCCCGGUGCGCUCCAGCUGCGGGGGCUCCAGCACCCCCAGAGGCCCCCGAGCACACCAGCAGCACCAGGCAGGCCUGGGGUGCCCUGCACAGUGGCCCUGGGCCCAUGCCCAUCCCUGAGGGACAGCUGUGCAGCCCUUGGCCCUGGGCAGCUCAGGGCUGGGGCUCCCUCACUCUCCACCCAGCUGGCAGGAAUCCAGCCCUCUCGGGGGCCCUGAGGCUGGAUGACCAGGGUGGACACUGGUGGAGGGCACCAGUGCAUCAUGUGUGUGUGUGUGUGAGUGUGUGUGUAAGUGUGUGUGUGUGAGAGAGUGUGUGUGUGUCUGUGUGUGAGUUUGAGUGUGUGAGAGUAUGUGUGUGUGAGUGUGUGUUGUCACUUCAGUUGUGUCCAACUCUGUGACCCCAUGGGCUGCAGCCCACCAGGCUCCUCUGCCCAUAGGAUUUCCCAGGCAUGAAUACUGGAGUGGGUUGCCAUUUUCUUCUGCAGGGGAUCUUCCCAACCCAGGGAUCUAACCCGCGUCUCUUACGUCUCCCACAUUGCCAGCCAGGUCCUUUACCACUAGAGCCACCUGGGGAGCCCAGUCCAUCACGCUGCCUGAAUGAAAAGAAACAAUAGCCUCCCUGUCAGGCCCUAUUUUCAGCACUGGAGACACACCAACUCCUUUAGUACUCAAAGGGCUCCAUGGGAUCACACUCUCACAAUCCCCACAUAGUGAUGAAGACACAGAGGUUCAGAGUGGCCACAUGACCUGCAUAAGUCACGCUGACAGACAGUUGCAUCCAGACUCCCAGCUUCAGAGUCAGCUUUAAUUCCACGCAUGCUCCCAGGAUACAUCCUGAUGAGCUGCCAGGCCAGACCAGGCCCCUCACUGAGCCUCUGGGCCCCGGAGGAUCUUGUGCAGCUUAUCCACUCAGAGGCCUCACCAAGCCCCCUCCGUCUGAGGCCCGCAGUUUCCACCACCUGGCCCCCAGGAGGGUGUGAGACCUGGUGGUGCGCUCUGAGGCUCCCCAAAGUGAGGCACACCCGCACACUGACCCAAACAGCCCCUACAGGCUGCCAGGCUUCCGCAGAGAUUUGCACCCUGUUUCUCUGGGUUCUCCCCUUCCUGGACAACCUCCCCAGCCUCCACUGAGGGACAGCUCACCGGCUGCAGGCAUUAGCAGCAGAGAGAAAUCCAAAGUGCGAGACAGCCCGCUCCUUCCUGACAAGGGCCGUCAGCCCCAAGGCCCAGACCAAGCAGGGGCUCAAGCCCCAGAGGAGCUCCUGAGGCCGGGGUGGGCGCUGCCUCCCUGGCCUGCCCAAGGGCCCUACACACGGUGAGAUCGGGGUGCCAUUUCCAGGGCAGAGAGGCCCCAGGGCCUCAUGUCCGCCACACCCCCUUCCGCAGAGCCUCCUUGACAUCCUCGUUCCUCAAGGUGUAGAUGAAGGGGUUCAGCACUGGGGUGACGGUGGUGCUGAGCACGGUGACAGCCUUGGUCAGGUCCAGCGAGCUCUCCACCAAGGUCCUCACGUGCAGGAAGACAGUUGGGCCAUACCAGAUGAGGACCACCGCGAGGUGGGAGGAGCAGGCGGAGAAGGCCCGGGGCCGGCCCUGCAGCGAGGGCGUCCUGACGACGGCGACCACGAUGUGGGCGUAGGAGACCAGCGUGAUGACGCCCAGCGUGAUGACAUGACAGACCAGCGUGAUGACGCCCAGAG